Molecule: ribosomal RNA, 512 nt
Filed under: Orthotylinae gen. ZANCGEN1 sp. Msp425
Lineage: Eukaryota; Metazoa; Arthropoda; Insecta; Hemiptera; Miridae
Description: partial large subunit ribosomal RNA
Rfam family: Bacterial large subunit ribosomal RNA (bases 384-512)
Source: RNAcentral
CAUGGUUUUUUGUUUAUAUAAAAGAUCUGGCCUGCUCAGUGAAUUUUAAAUAGCUGCAGUAUUUUGACUGUACAAAGGUAGCAUAAUCACUUGUCCUUUAAUUGAGGUCUGGAAUGAAUGGUUUGAUGAAAAAUAUACUUUAUUUAUUUUUAAUAAAAAAUUUAAUUUUUGGGUUAAAAAGCUUUAAAAUUUGUUUAUAGGACGAGAAGACCCUAUAGAGCUUUAUUUAUUUAUUUUUAUAUUUUUUUGGAUUAUAUAUUUUUAAUAUAAAUAUAUAAAUUUUGUUGGGGUGACAAAAAAAAUAUUAUAACUUUUUUUAAUUUUUACAUUUGUGAAUGUAUUUUUGAUCCUUUGUUUUGGAAAAAAGAAUAAGUUACCUUAGGGAUAACAGCGUUAUUAUUUCGGAGAGUCCAUAUUGAUGAAAUAGUUUGCGACCUCGAUGUUGGAUUAAAAUAAGAUAUAGAAGUAGAAUGUUAUAUUCUUGGUCUGUUCGACCUUUAAAUUUUUACAUG